AGAACGAACACUGGCGGCAUGCCUAACACAUGCAAGUCGAACGAGACCUUCGGGUCUAGUGGCGCACGGGUGCGUAACGCGUGGGAAUCUGCCCUUGGGUUCGGGAUAACAGUUGGAAACGACUGCUAAUACCGGAUGAUGUCUUCGGACCAAAGAUUUAUCGCCCAGGGAUGAGCCCGCGUAGGAUUAGCUUGUUGGUGAGGUAAGAGCUCACCAAGGCGACGAUCCUUAGCUGGUCUGAGAGGAUGAUCAGCCACACUGGGACUGAGACACGGCCCAGACUCCUACGGGAGGCAGCAGUGGGGAAUAUUGGACAAUGGGCGAAAGCCUGAUCCAGCAAUGCCGCGUGAGUGAUGAAGGCCUUAGAGUUGUAAAGCUCUUUUUACCCGGGAUGAUAAUGACAGUACCGGAGAAUAAGCCCCGGCUAACUCCGUGCCAGCAGCCGC
This 446-nucleotide ribosomal RNA is filed under the name uncultured soil bacterium. Its description in RNAcentral is "bacterial SSU rRNA". It matches the Rfam family "Bacterial small subunit ribosomal RNA", at positions 26 to 518 of the family's 1533-position model. The record is from RNAcentral.